GGGCCGCGGGCCGCGCCGGGCCCCGGGAGGCUGCCCAGCGAGGCGGCGGCAGCGGCGACGGGCGGGCGCGUGGGACUGUGCUGGCUGCCCCGCAAGAGCUGCAUGUGACACCUUCUGCCAUGAGAUGAUGCUACAAGAAGAACCUCACCGACUGCUGGCACCUUGAUACUGGACUUCACAGCCUCCAGAAUUGUGAGCCAAUGUCUUUCAAACAUUGAUAAUUACACCUUUCAGACCCAAAGCCUACAAAUUCAUAAUCCACACAGAUGACAUACUAAAAUCUACUCAGACUUGUAAGUCUGAAGACAAUUUCAGCACUAUUGGACUUACAUUAAGAGAAAACUGCUUAAAAAGAGAUAAUCCAUUUUAAAGCAAGAAAACAAGAUAAUUCAAGGGAAAAAUGUAUGACUCUAAAUUUGGAAACCAGACAGGAUCUGCCAAUACGGGGCAGAAUGUUAAAAAGAGGAUGAAUUUUGAUUUCAGAAAAUUUAGAAGAAAAUGGAUUUCUCAGGCAACUGAAAGAACAUAUUUGGAUAUGUUAAGAUGAAAGGAGACUUCAAGAGAACUGGACUUUGUGUUGGACAGGCUGUCUGUGACAGGGAAAAAACCCCUUCUGAAUGAUUAGGGAUGAAUCAGUUAACUGGCUUGAGUUUCACAUCCUUCAUCUGUAAAAUCUGGUGAUUAGACUGGCCCAGCAAAAGAUAUAAUGGGCAAAAGAUAUAAUACACAUAAAUUGGAAUGAAUCUGCAUUUUCCAAGCCUGAUGACUUUAUUAAAACUGAAUUAAGUCACUAACUGGCAGCCUGAAGAUGAAAGGAAAGAACUCAGUCAUGCUUCUUAAGGUAAAAGGGCAGUCUAACUGAGAAUUUUGUUAUCUCUGAGGACAAAUUACAAGGAGAUAAAGACACUCGAGAUCACAUGGAAGGCUUCUGCUCCCACUUAGAGACUGCAAUGUAAGCAACGGAGACAAAGAAGAUUUUCCUGAGCAGUGUCAGUAACAAAGAAAUGAGGCAAAUUAUUAAGAAACUGAUGGGCAUUCAUUGAAGAGCAACAAAUAUGAUUCAUAAGUCUGAAGGGACAGCCUUCAGAGGGAAGAUGAAAGAGACAAGUCUCUCAGCAUGACCAUGUGGCUCUAACGGGACUGGCUCAUGGGCAACAAGUACUUGAAGGGUGUAAAUAGUGGGGACAGAGAGAAAUUAUUUAGUGUCCAAGGGGACAGCAGGAGGAGUGAUGGUAAAUGAAAGUCAAAACAAAGAUGAUUUAGGCAGCUGAACGAGUCACAUGCCCUAAUGGAGAGAUCUAUUAUAGGCUGUACAGCAUCAUCCCUUGGGAAGGGUGGAAACCCCAUCACUUGCGCCAUUUACAGUUGGAAAAGGCAUUAAAAAGUAGAUCAGCCUGUUGGAGAGGGAAAAAACACCGCAGGUCCUCAGAGAAUCAGUGGGAUGACUUAAUAGGUCUUUUCCAUCUCAAAUUACUGUGAUGUAGUUUGUAUGCUUGGGGACCUGAGGUGCUAGAAUAAUUUUUCCAGCAUUUGGGCUUCUUUACUAUUACUACAAGCCCUCAGUGAAGAAAUGAUAAUGGGUCAUGGAAUGCAGUUUCUGCAUUGUAAGUGGAAGCCCACAGUGUACUGAUGCUUUAGUAUGAAGGCAGGACUGACUAUGAUUAAGUUUCACAUUGUGAUGUCAGUGUAAAUAAAUACAAACACAAUACCAAUUAAGUCCCAAAACAACAUACAUAUAUUGACUGAGACCAAAGGCAGAGGGAAAGGACCUUUGUCACAGUUAGAUGGUGGCUGAAUAAAUGAAAAUUCAAGUAGUUUAUUCUCUCAUCUAGAAAAAUACAUGUCUAAAUACUUAAAAGUCUAUCUUUACAAAAAAAAAUAAGAAAAAAAAUGGCCUUAAAACUAUCAAGAAAUAUUUACUGUGUAGGAACUUUAGGACCCAUAUUUUGAAUGUGUGCUGUAUUUCUGUCCACAGCUGCAGUUGUAAUUAGCAACUGACACAUUCCGAAACCAUGGUGGCCCAGAGGAGCACAUAUGUGCACAGGCUGUGCCAACCUGGGGCAAUAACUGCAACUGAAAGGAACGGGCACAGCUUGGUCAGAUGGAAACUGGGGCAGGCAGAGAAGGGCUGGUGUUACUGUGAUUACUAGAAGGAGCACAGCUGUGACCAUCUCAACCCUUCUCACCCAGAGGAUGACACGGAAGCAGGGGACAAAAAUGGUAAGAGGGUGACAGGAGGGAGAGGCAGCAAGAAAGAAAGCAAAAGAAUCCAGAGAGGGAAACCCACAGAUGCAAGCUCUUUGCAGGUGGAGUAUAUGACAGAUCCUGAUAAAAAUAUUGUAUGUGGUUGAGCACAAGUGAAACUUGGCGUUCUAGAAGACUGAAGUUUGCAACAAACAAAUUCAGGGUUUGACCUACACCUGACAGAUAUAGGUCAACCCUCAUCCUGCUGCUCUCAGCAGCUGUAGCCAAUAGGAGACAGUGCUGCCCAGCAUGCCGGUUUAAGCUGCUGCUAAUAGAGGGAAACCAACGUAACCCCAUAUUUCCUGCCUCUGCAGUCCUCACUUGUCUAUACACGGCCAACUCAGGCGCAGGCAGAGCUGCUGGCUUGCUGUAACUGCUGGAAGACUGAUAAGUGGAAUCUGGUGCUAGCAUAUAUAUUCCCACCUCAUCUAGCUAAAAAAUCUUUUGUCAAGCCUUUUAAGGGAGGACCAUUAAAAUUCAAUUUUCCCUCAUUAACCUAAAUGCUUUCUUAAAUUCAUAUAACCAGAAGAGACUUACUAAUUCUUCACACCAACAGAACUUUAGAGAUGUUUAGAGAGAGGAAAUUCCGUGACAGAGGCCUAUUUUUGAAAGGAUACAGCAAAGGUUAAGUGACUUAUCCCAUGUUACUUAGAGGUGAUAGUUAAGGCAGAAAGCGAACUGAGGGAGUGGUCUGAGACAAGUGAGGAAAUUAUGAAAUUAAAUCUGAAGAAAGAACGUCAUCACCAAAUCACAUUGGGUUAAAUAUCUAUUGGAAAUCCCAAUUCAGUAACACACAUUCCUUUAUCCUACAUGUUCAGACUAGUGUUAAAAGUGACUUCAGAUAUUUCCUAUGCUCAUGUUUUUUUUAAAAAAAGUCCAACCAUUCUCCUCAAUGAACAUGACAUUAAAUCAAGCUAAGUCCAGUCACAUGGUCUCAACUUUACUCACUAAAGCUAGCAGGCAAGGGCCUAGUGAGUUGAAUUAGAGGUUUAAUUAGAAGAACAAGCAAUAAAUACUAAAUGUUCUGUUGCAACUGUGUAACUUUCUGUGGGAUUUUAUGCCUUGUAUCUUUUUUCCUGAAUUCCAGACCAACGGGGCUGCACUAGAACCCCAGAAGCAGAGAAUUCCAUAACUCAGACUCUUUGAUUCAGAUAUUUUUCUUUUCAUCACCUUGAGAGAGCAAAUAAAUCCCCCAAACUACUUUUCCCACCUCUCAAGCUUCUAGAGGAUAUUCUUGACUGGAAUUUGUCCAUGUUCUGAAAUAACAGGUUACUUCACUUUCUUUGUGUUUAAAUAAAUGUAAUUAGGCCUGUUUUUAAAAACUAUGGAAAAUAUUAAAAAGAAAAUAAAAAUCAUCUAUAAACUUACCACUUAGUGGCAGCCACAUGAA
This is a long non-coding RNA of Gorilla gorilla gorilla (western lowland gorilla), 3634 nucleotides long. RefSeq lists it as uncharacterized. NCBI's taxonomy places the organism in Eukaryota, Metazoa, Chordata, Mammalia, Primates, Hominidae. The transcript has 6 exons. The record is from RefSeq and is a predicted model, not a curated record.